Molecule: non-coding RNA, 292 nt
Organism: Pelobates cultripes (western spadefoot toad)
Lineage: Eukaryota; Metazoa; Chordata; Amphibia; Anura; Pelobatidae
Source: the annotation of a GenBank genome assembly
CUCAGGAUCUGAGUCAGUACUGCCAGAUGUCUGCCAGAGAGUGGGGAAGAGAAGGGAACAGCACAGGGCCCCCCUCCAUCCCCUACCUAUUAGUGAAGAUCCGUUCGGCAGAGUAGCUGUCGACAUUAUUGUUGCGCAGGCACUUUGGCGACUCUAGAGAACCUCGGGCCAAUCGCACGUCCCCGUGACAGCGACUUUGCAUUCAGAUGCCUGCCCUUUGAACUUUCAAUGCCACUUUCUGCACCUACCAUAGUGACUAUGGUUAACGGGGAAUCAGGGUUCGAUUCCGGAG